Molecule: long non-coding RNA, 526 nt
Organism: Pistacia vera
Lineage: Eukaryota; Viridiplantae; Streptophyta; Magnoliopsida; Sapindales; Anacardiaceae
Exons: 3
Source: RefSeq, a predicted model, not a curated record
AUUCCAGCAUAUUAUAUCUGUUUAUUUGUGCAGGCUGGACGAGAUCUUAAAUUUGUUAGCUUAUCAAUGAGUGGAUGUUUCUCAUUGGGUGCUCUUGCACUGUUGUUUGUAAGUACCAAAGGGUAUGGUUUGCCUGGCUGCUGGUUUGUACUUGUAGGAUUCCAAUGGGCUCGGUUUUUGCUCGCUCUCCAACGCCUUCUUUCUCCCACCGGCAUACUUUUCUCUGAAAAUUUAAGCCAGCAUAAUCUGGAGAAGCUGAAAGCUGCUUAGUCUUAGAAUAUGCUUGCGCUUAUAUACAACAGAUAUGAAGCAUACUCAGACUCAGUCAUAUAUUUUUCUAUUCGCCAAAGAUCUCAUCACAUAAGUCUUUGUUGCCUCAAAUGAAACCAAGAGGAGAAUCAAUGCACUACUUGAAGCAGUUAGAUGUUAUCCUUAAUAGCAAAUCAUAGUUGCAGAACCACUGGUGAUUGUAUUUCAACCUUCUUACCCCUCUGCUAUAACAGAAAGAAAAACAGCUUCUACUAAU